Molecule: non-coding RNA, 5674 nt
Organism: Xyrichtys novacula (pearly razorfish)
Lineage: Eukaryota; Metazoa; Chordata; Actinopteri; Labriformes; Labridae
Source: the annotation of a GenBank genome assembly
UUUUCGUUUCAGAGGAGGACUGCUCCCCUACCCAGGUGGACUGCAACUGUGAUGCUUGAAGUUUGUGUGGUCGUAGUCUUUUCCUGGCCUGCUCCAGGAUGUCUGCCAUCGCACUGAGGACCUGGUCAUGCUGCCACCUGUUUCUCCCUUGGGUCAGGGAUGUUUGACACCCAGCUAGGAUGUGGGAAAGUGUGCCUCUGUGUCCACACUUGUUUGCAGAGUUUCUUGUGUGUGGGAAGGGGCAGCCCUUAACAGUAUAAUUCUGAAGGUAUCUGAAUAAACAGAGUUUUUAAAAAGGCUUCAAAACUAAAUAUUUACUUGGAGAAACAAGCUCUUGCAUUGUUUUUUGAUUCACAAUAAAUUUUUGAAUGUCACUUGUUAAAAGUGUUGAAUCAUUUCUCAGAGGGAUGCUACAGCUAACCCGCUAGCAGCUGCUACUUUUUCUUUGUCUCUCCUCUGUUUUAUGACAUGACAGCCAGAACUGACAGUGUUUCCAUAUGCCUAUUUUCAACAUGUCAUGAAUCUUUGAAUUUCUUUAAAAAGACAAUUUUCAUAAAUUCCAGUACACUGUGACUUCUGCUGCCCCCUAACUGCUGUUUUAAGAGCCACAUGCUAGCUUAGAAAUAGCUGCUAGGUUCAGUGCAUCAUACAGAGCCUCAGAGAGUUCAGGUGUUUUAAGCUGCUCAGUCUAAAUAAAGGAUCUGAAUUAAACCUGGUCUGUUCUCUCUGUAGCUGCUGAAAGGAAAGGAGAGAUUUUAGAAGAAGGAGGAAGGAGAAGUAGGAGGAAAUGGUGAGAUGAAGGCGGUUUCGUAGUGCAGAUGUGUGGUUUCCUUUGCUGCCUUCCCUAACUUCCUGUUAGUGUUAUUUCUGUCGUUCACUGCACAUCUAUUCCUCUACUCUUUCACUCCUCCUCUCUCCUUGAGAGAGGAGGAGUGAAUAACCAACACAACAAUAACCAACACUCACUUUCCCCCUACCUCCUUUUUCUUUCCUCACAGUGACAACAAACAACCUGACUGCAGCGCUGCUGUUUUUCAAACUGUUUAUCCAUAGGUGUACUGCUUUAAUCUGAUUAUCCACCUGUAGAGGGCAGCACUGUUCAUUAUUCACAGAGAAAAAAUCCAAACCACUGACCUAAAAAUGAGCUUUCACCAACUGGAGACUCAUCUAUGUCCCAAAAUAACUGGACCGACACACUCACGCACACACACACACACACACACACACUAGGUUUGCAUGUGUGUGUGUGUGUGUGUGUGUGUGUGUGUGUGUGUGUGUGUGAGUGAGUGGGUGUAUUGUGCCUCAUCCUCUCUGCUCAGGUCACAGUAUGAGAUGAUAAUCUGGCCCGGUUGCACACAGAAACAAUGACAGCUGACUGCAGAUUACAGAGCCGGAUUAUCAAGGGAGCGGGGGAAGAGGGGGAGGAAAUAUGGAUGAGUAUGAGACAUAAAUGGGCCGAUGAAGAUGUUUUAGAGAUAAAUACAAAACAGGCAGAGUGGGCAGGAUGUGGCUCCAGAGAAGGGAAAUGUUCAAAAAAUUAAUUUGCAUGGAGUAAAACUGUGGUGUGAAACAAUCUUGUUGCAGCAGUCUACUUUUUUUUUAAACAUAAAAAUGAAAACUUACUGAACAAAAAAAUGGUGCAUUUUAAAGUUUAACCUUAUCAAAAAGGAGUAUAGCUUAAGUACAUUUUAUGAAGUAUACUGAAGUUCGUUUUAAUUUACUUCCCAAAGUAUACUUUGUACACUAAAACAAAUAUACUACUUGUUUACUCACGAGUUAACCUGUUGGGACUUAAUUGGCCCUAAAUUUUUGUUUAUAAAAGUACACUUAAAGCAUACUUGAAAGUGAACUUGGUAUACCAUUAGCUUACUAAAAAUAAACAUCCUGUCCCCUUUUUAGUUUAUGAAAGUACACUUUGAAGCAUACCUUUCUCUUUUUUUGGGAGGGUGGGGCUUUUGCCUUCAAUGGAUGGGACAGAGUGGAAAUGUGGGAGACAAAGAGAGAGGGAGGAAUGACAUGCAGCAAAGGGUUGGGGUUAAAAUCAAACCUGUGACCACUGCAGGAACCAAGGUCCCCAACAUCAAGCAUGCCUUAACCCACUCGGGUAUCUGCACCCCCACUGUGAAACAUAUUUAAAAUUACCUUUUUGGGAUGCUAUUAUUUCAAUAGUAGUACAAGUAUACCUUAAGUAUAUCUUGAUCAAAAGUUUAAGAAUAAGUUAAAUGUAUGCAGACAUUUAGUAUAAUUCUUAUUACAAGCCAAGUUAAGUUUGUUAUGUGAAUCUCUAAAAGGUGCACAAAAAGUAAACUGGAAGCAUACUUAGUUUAAACACAGUAUAUUCCUGAAAUACACUUAAACAUACUUCUUCUUGGUAAGGGUUGGGAACCAGUAAGGAUACUCUAGCUGGUUGUUAGACUGAAAUAAAUGAUGAUAUGAUCAACCACAUCAACUAUAAAGACACAAAAAUUGCAGACUUUAUUUUUGCCAGAAGCUGCCACAGCAAGGUCUGACAAGACAGUGAAGCAGAAGUGAGCAGUGUUAGUACAGGCAGGAUGCAAAUUGGAGCCCCACCCACAGCACAUCAGCUGAUCUGAACAUCAGGCCAUAUCAGCUGAUUAUACUCUACACAUACAGGUGUCAAAUGUGAAAAUGUAUUGAAAUGCUCUGAGCCUGUCUACUCCUCCUGCUUCCUCUGCAAACAGUCUUGAUGCUGCUCUUCUUGCCAUUACCCAGCUCCUUUAUAAUGAUGUGUUUGUGGUGUGUGAUGUGUGUGUGUGUGUGUGUGUGUGAUGUUUUGUAUUCUGGAGUCUUUGCUGCUGCUCUCCCUGCCUUGGCUUUUCAUAUAUGCUCAUGAAUGAGAGGGAGGGUGUGCUCUCCCUGCCUCAGGCUUCAGCAUUCCAGGUAAGCUUGUGAAAGGGCAGGGAGCUCUUGGAGUGGAGCUAUAAAACCAAAUAACACUAUUGCAUGUCAGUUAUUUUUACAACAAUAGUCCACACUGAUGUGCAUUUAUCUUAGGGGCAUCAUUGGGAACAUCCUUAGUUGUCUCAAACAUUUUUUUUCAUGUUGGAGGACAUUGAUAGUCCCAAGCCCUGGUUGGAAUCAACACAAAAGGUAGACUUGUCUGCUCCAAACUGAGAAUUUCAGGAAGUCAACAUGAUAUCCAGAUAAUUUUAUACACUUUUUUUUGGAUCCUGCAAAUAUACUAUAGAAAGUAAAUCCGGAGAGCUUUGAAUGUAGUCUAAAGCCUCUUUUUUAUGAUGUUGCCAAACUUCUGGUGUCUGACUUCAUGUUUUAGGAACAAUAUUUAUCAUAAUGACUAUAGAUAGUCUGUGCUGUAAAUAAUCCAGUGUUCUCCAUGCGUGGUUGAUGUAUCACACACUAAUUGGUUGGUGUGUGUUGGUGUGUUUUGUGUGUUCCUAUGAGUGAUCUCUGCUCCUCGCAGAGUUUCUGUUUCUCACACACAGUCUUCUCUUAUACUAACUGUAAGCUCAGGUUAUUCACAUGCACACAGAGCAGAGUGAAUUAGGGCAUGCUGGUUUUUCAUCAUAUUAUCUCUCAGACUGUUUAGCUCUUACACUGCAUACUCAGAUAUUCUCACGCUGUUUCACACUCACGCCAUGGUUCACACUCACGCUAUGGUUCACUCCAAUAUAAGAAAAGGGACUUAAGUAAAAGUUGAAUUACUGCUGAUGAUAAUAUCGGCCUCUAUGAAUGUAACUUGGAAAAAAUAUAAUUACAAAAACAGCAAAAUAUAAAGAUUAAACAGCAGAAGUUCCCAUGCUGAAAGUGAUGAAAACACAUAAAAACAUUUGUGGAGAGUAACUGUAAAUAUACUUGACUGUGGUGUUAUCAUUGAAGGAUACCAUACACCAUAGACCUCAGGUUGUAUAUGUCCACAGGUAGGUGUGACAUGGUGACAAUAGAGCAGGUUACACUGAGGUCAAAGCUGGGGUCAGGGCAAAAAGAGACGUAAGCAGUAACAUCAGUGUUUUGUUUGUGUUUUCAUAUACAUACAGCGUUAAAUAUUGUGUUAAAUUUGGAGGACGUUCUCAAAAGACACACUGGAAAAGAGUAGCAGCUGCCAUGUGUUCAUGUAUGUGUAUUUAACAGGGAGUAUAUCUGCAGCUAUGCACAGGUCAGUUUAAAUGUGAAUACUAAAUACCUAUGUUCAAGUCAGGUCUAGUUUUUAUUUCAUGUGACCUCCAAACAGACAUGCUCAUACUUUUAAUCGCACAAAAACACUAAAACCUCUCCACCCUCUUUAUCUGCUGCAGCUGCACACCAGCACCACUCUGCAGCUCUCAGGCGUGUGUGUGUGUGUGUGUGUGUGUGUGUGUGUGUGUGUGUGUGUGUGUGUGUGUGUGUGUGUGUGUGUGUGUGUGUGUGUGUGUGGUCUCACCUGGUCACAUGGUCCAGUUUCUUUGGAGAUUAAUUGUGCAUGUUUGGUUUCUAUCUUUGGUGUUGUUGCUGUGUUUUCAUGUUAGUUUCCGUCUGUAGAUCAGCUGUUAGACGGACGUGCCACACCUGCUGUUACUUAUAAAAUGCUGCAGAGUGUCUCUGUCAUGGUGGGUUCAGACAGGAUCAGAGUGGGUCUGAUCUCACUGUCCUAUUUUGUGUUGAUGUUUGUCUUUGUAAAUAAUAAAACAAGGAGCUCAGUAUCUUGAGCAGCCGUUUCUAAAAAGCACAACAUUUAUUGUGACUUGGUAUGGCAUAAAUGAAGAUGGAUGAUUGAUUGAGUGUCUGGUAAACAGUUUUGGACAUGUUAUUUCAGCUGCAGUCCUGAUGGUGUUAAAAGAAAACAAUAUGAAGACAAUGUGGAUGAAUUUGGAAAUGUGAUUAAAAGUCUUUGUUAGUCUCUGUUGGAGAAUGAUGCAAAGAAAGCCCAACCUGUAACUUUUAUAUGGCAGCUACAAAAAUGUUGCAUUCAGUAUUCAGUGUCCCCAUCUAAAUACUGAGAUUUGUGAUUUAUUGAUUUAUUUUUUUUAAAUAUGGGACAAUAUGUAUUAAUGAACAUUUACAUGUUCCUUUAGUAGGUUGGUGUCAGCACAUAAAACAAAACUGAACAUCAGCAAUAGAUGCCCAUAGUACCUGGUUGUACAUGCAAAUUUGUCACUAGAUAUUGCACAAAAAAGCAUACAUACUGUAGAUGUCUUGUGUAAGCAAGACAUGUUGUUCGUUCUUUUUGAGAAGUACAUACAGACAGUUGUAGAGAUGUGAAGAUGCAGCUGACAGCUCUCAAGCCAGCGAUACGCAUGGCAUAAGUCAAUUCCUGGGCAGCUUGCUCACUGUCUUUUGCAUGUACAUACAAAACUAUGUUAUCUGCACACACUUGACGGAUUACAUUUGAAGGACAACAACUUGGAGGGUCAUUAAUAAGGACACUAAAAAGAAGCGGGACUGACCCUUGUGGAACCCCAAAGUUGUUGCUAUUUGAAACUGACUUUGAGUCGUGAACUGUAACACACUUAGUCCUUGAUGAAAGGUAUGAUUCAAAAUACCUCAUAAAAUUCACAGAAUAUUAAAAUACAUCAGUUUGGACAACAAAAUAUGAUGAUUGAUGGUAUCAAAUGCUUUUUCAGACAGCCGCAACAUCUCCACCAGCAUCCAGCUCAGUUUUUAUACUUUCAGGAAAAAGCAAACAGCCGUCUCAGUUGAGUGGUGUUUUCUAAAACCA